Molecule: ribosomal RNA, 497 nt
Filed under: uncultured bacterium
Lineage: Bacteria
Description: partial 16S ribosomal RNA
Rfam family: Bacterial small subunit ribosomal RNA
Source: RNAcentral
GAUGAACGCUGGCGGCGUGCCUAAUACAUGCAAGUCGAGCGAACAGAUGAGGAGCUUGCUCCUCUGACGUUAGCGGCGGACGGGUGAGUAACACGUGGAUAACCUACCUAUAAGACUGGGAUAACUUCGGGAAACCGGAGCCAAUACCGGAUAAUAUAUUGAACCGCAUGGUUCAAUAGUGAAAGACGGUUUUGCUGUCACUUAUAGAUGGAUCCGCGCCGCAUUAGCUAGUUGGUAAGGUAACGGCUUACCAAGGCGACGAUGCGUAGCCGACCUGAGAGGGUGAUCGGCCACACUGGAACUGAGACACGGUCCAGACUCCUACGGGAGGCAGCAGUAGGGAAUCUUGCGCAAUGGGCGAAAGCCUGACGGAGCAACGCCGCGUGAGUGAUGAAGGUCUUCGGAUCGUAAAACUCUGUUAUUAGGGAAGAACAAAUGUGUAAGUAACUAUGCACGUCUUGACGGUACCUAAUCAGAAAGCCACGGCUAACUACGUG